Molecule: long non-coding RNA, 287 nt
Organism: Glossina fuscipes
Lineage: Eukaryota; Metazoa; Arthropoda; Insecta; Diptera; Glossinidae
Exons: 2
Source: RefSeq, a predicted model, not a curated record
CAAGAAAUCAUUGCGCAUACAAAAAGUUGAAGACUUCCUACCGCUCGAUCUGCGCCAUUUAUUUUUGUCACUUUUCAUUCAUAAAAAAGGCAUCCUAAAUCAGGAACAGAUCCUAUUACAAACCAAAAAGAAAGUGAAAAGAGAAAAUAAGACAAUUCACGUAGUAGCACUUUGUGAAGUGAAUUCCAUUCUUGAAUUUGCUUAUCCAAAUUUCCAUUAUUGCAACAGGAGGCAUUACCAUCUUAUUUACAUUUCAAUAAUGGAUACUUGUAAAGGAUGCAGGCCAG